AAGAUGAUAUUAAAAUUUAUAUUUAUGUAGAUUUAAUUAAUAUAAGUAAUUUUAUUAAAAUUUUGUAGUAUAGUUUAUAGAAUAAAGUAGAUAGUUGAUAAAUUAAUAGUACUGUAAAGGAAAUAUGAAAUAUUUUGAAAUAUUUAUUGAAUAUAAAAAAGAAUAGAAUUUUGUACCUUGUGUAUCAGGGUUUAUUAAUAUAGAGAAAUUUAAUUUAGGUAUCCCGAAUUGGAAUGAGUGAAAGUAAAAAGUUUAGUUAAUGUGGCAUAAUUAUUAAUAAUUUUAUUUUUGUAAUGAAAUGUUAUUCGUCUUCUAAUAUAUCUGGUUUUUUAAGAGAUAAAUUUAAUUUACUUAUUAAAAGUAUUUUUAUAUUUUUGAAUGAUUUAUUUUUAGUAAGAUAUAUAUAAGGGGAUAAGCUCUUAUAUAAUGAUUAUAAUAAUUUAUAAUAUUUAAAUAAGUAGGCUUUAAAUUAGCUUUCGAUUGAAAAAUGUUAUAAUUUUUUUAAUUUAUAAUGUAAUUUGUAAUAAUUAUUUAAUUGGUAUAUUAAAAUAUUAAGAUUAAUUAGAUAACUUAAGUAAUAAUGAUAAAAUAAGUAUAUAAUAUUUGUAAUAAUAUUAAUUAUUGGUAAAUUUAUAAAAAGGAACUAGGCAAAUAUUUUUCUCGUCUGUUUAUCAAAAACAUUUCUUUUGGUGUUAAUCUAAGGUAAGGCCUGCCCACUGAAAAGUAAGUUGAAGGGCCGCGGUAUUAUGACCGUGCAAAGGUAGCAUAAUCAUUAGUCUUUUAAUUGAGGGCUGGAAUGAAUGGUUUGACGAAGUAAAAACUGUCUUAUUAUAAUAAUUAGAAGUUAACUUUUAAGUGAAAAGGCUUAAAUGCGUAUAGAGGACGAGAAGACCCUAUAGAGUUUUAUAUAUUUAUGUAAUUAUUAAUUAAGUUGAUUAUAAAUAAUUAUUUAAUAUAUAUAUUUUGUUGGGGUGACAUAAAGAUAUAAUGAACUCUUUAUUUUAUUAACAUUGAUUUAUGGAUAAUUGAUCCAUUUUUAAUGAUCAAAAGGUUAAGUUACCUUAGGGAUAACAGCGUAAUUUUCUUUAAGAGUUCGUAUCAACAAGGAAGAUUGCGACCUCGAUGUUGGAUUAAGAAUAUAAUUAGAUGCAGCAGUUUAAUUUAUAGGUCUGUUCGACCUUUGAAUUCUUACAUGAUCUGAGUUCAGACCGGUGUAAGCCAGGUCGGCUUCUAUCCUUAUAAUAUUAAUAUAAUUUAGUACGAAAGGACCAAUUAUUUUAAAUAAUUUAUUUUUAAUGAUGAAUUUUA
Molecule: ribosomal RNA, 1308 nt
Filed under: Ducetia japonica
Lineage: Eukaryota; Metazoa; Arthropoda; Insecta; Orthoptera; Tettigoniidae
Description: 16S ribosomal RNA
Rfam family: Bacterial large subunit ribosomal RNA (bases 880-1236)
Source: RNAcentral